AACCCUAGCACAGUAGCGCUCAAAUCACAAAUUCACUGCAGACAGCAAAGCAAAAUUGUAUGCAGGCAUAAGGAUGGCUUCUCGGGGAGGUUCAUGAUGCAACCGGACCAACGGAGCGGCUUCGCGUUGCACAUCCCGCGGAUCCCAUGCCUUUCCACAUCUUGCCCCGCAUCGAUGUUAAUCUGAUUAAACAACAAAUUCCAUUGAAAACACCUUCGAUUGUUGGGGGAAUAAAUGGAAACAAGCAGCUGGGUGACGAACACAAACAGGAAAGGGGGGUGUGGGCGGCAACGAACUGCACGAAUACAGCAGCAAAGAAGAAUGAAUCAUCAAAUCGCACAAACAAUCAAGUAGAUCAAGCGCAAAGAACAAAAAAAAAUCUGGAGACAAACAUCAGAUCAGAGUGGGAAAUCAGUGGAGAAAGGUGAUGCAGCUACCAGCGAACACGCCCGUGCAGCUUCAGGGGAGAGGCGGCGGCAAGUGACAGAACAAUGAGACGGAGAAUUAGGGAUAAGUACGGUCUUGGAGCGCGAAAUCAGACCCGUUAAACACAG
This 554-nucleotide long non-coding RNA is filed under the name Setaria italica (foxtail millet). Its description in RNAcentral is "long non-coding RNA (SITA_LNC005194)". The record is from RNAcentral. Lineage: Eukaryota; Viridiplantae; Streptophyta; Magnoliopsida; Poales; Poaceae.